Long non-coding RNA from Vulpes vulpes (red fox), 955 nucleotides. Lineage: Eukaryota; Metazoa; Chordata; Mammalia; Carnivora; Canidae. The record is from Ensembl.
CUGAAAUCAAGAAUUGGACACUUAACCGACUGAGCCACCCAGACACCCCAUCAGUUGGGGUCUUGAGAUGAGAUAUAGCAAAUCAGCUGUUCACCUGGCAACCCUUCUUUUGUAGACUUCCCCAGGAAGAGAGGCCCGACCCGGAAAUAAGGAAGGAGUUCUUCCCAGAACUAGAUUCUCUCAGAAGUGGGUCCAGGUGGCACAAGGGUAGAAACCCUCAAUUGUCCCUUCAGGAUGGAAGGACUCAUGAUCCCAGUUUCUGAGAAGGCUGUUGGCUGACGACAGUCUUUGGGUCCUUUGUUUAACCACCUCCGCUGAAGGUACUUGCCUCUCCCAAGUUAGCAGCCCGCAUCCAACGACUAAUGGAUAGUGGGUAGAAAUAUCUCUCUCUCUCUCCCCAAAUUAGGACAGCCCUGAAUAGUUCCCUGAACUUCCAUGUUCCGCAGGGAUCGUCUGAAACUCCCACUGACGCUGUAUCACAACAUACAUUUUACUUUUACACAAUCCUACAUCUUUUUUCUUCCCCUCCACAGAUUUUGAUCCUAAGAGCACUCCCUCAUUAACUUCCUGCAUUGAAGUCUGUUUCAGGAUCUGCUUUCAGGGAAACCCAAAUUGCAACAGUGUCCUAAUUAUUUUCCUGGCCACCUUGCCCCUUCCUUGGCUCUAAUCCACGUGAGACACUGUGGUGAUAGAACAUCAUUGUUUAAAGUAAGCUGCACAACUGCCAAAGCCACACCAUUCACGCUUCCCAUGGACAUAAUGAGAAGGAUCCGAAGAUGCCAAUCUCUGGUUGUGACAAGACCAUCAAGACUCAAGCAUUAACUUUCCGUUGAUUAUCUGAUUGCGCUGGACCUAGAAGCCUGUCGCUCAGUAUGGACCCUACCUACUCUUUGGUUUUGUAGUUCCUUUGCUGGUACAGAUGGUGGUAAUAAAAUUCCUGAUUGGCUGUGGGCCA